UUCGCAAUGCCCGAAAGGGUGACGAAGCGACGCCGCGUGUGGGAAGAAGGCUCUAGGGUUGUAAACCACUGUCAGGAGUUAAGAAAUGUAGAGGUGAUAAUAGCGCCUUUAUUUGACGAAGGCUCCAGAGGAAGCCACGGCUAACUCUGUGCCAGCAGCCGCGGUAAUACAGAGGUGGCAAGCGUUGUUCGGAAUUAUUGGGCGUAAAGAGCACGUAGGUGGAUUUGUAAGUCAGACGUGAAAGCCUUCUGUUCAACGGAAGAAUUGCAUCUGAAACUACAAACCUUGAGUGUAGGAGGGGAGAAUGGAACUUCUGGUGGAGCGGUGAAAUGCGUAGAUAUCAGAAGGAACGCCGGCGGCGAAAGCUAUUCUCUGGCCUAUUACUGACACUCAGUGUGCGAAAGCUAGGGGAGCAAACGGGAUUAGAUACCCCGGUAGUCCUAGCCGUAAACGAUGGGCACUAAGUAGAGGGGUUUU
Molecule: ribosomal RNA, 477 nt
Filed under: Candidatus Scalindua wagneri
Lineage: Bacteria; Pseudomonadati; Planctomycetota; Candidatus Brocadiia; Candidatus Brocadiales; Candidatus Scalinduaceae
Description: bacterial SSU rRNA
Rfam family: Bacterial small subunit ribosomal RNA
Source: RNAcentral